Molecule: ribosomal RNA, 467 nt
Filed under: uncultured bacterium
Lineage: Bacteria
Description: partial 16S ribosomal RNA
Rfam family: Bacterial small subunit ribosomal RNA
Source: RNAcentral
GACGAACGCUGGCGGCGUGCUUAACACAUGCAAGUCGAACGGAAAGGCCCCAGCUUGCUGGAGUGCUCGAGUGGCGAACGGGUGAGUAACACGUGGGCAAUCUGCCCUGCACUCUGGGAUAAGCCUGGGAAACUGGGUCUAAUACCGGAUAGGACCUUCCGCCGCAUGGGGGUUGGUGGAAAGUUUUGCGGUGGAGGAUGGGCCCGCGGCCUAUCAGCUUGUUGGUGGGGUAAUGGCCUACCAAGGCGACGACGGGUAGCCGGCCUGAGAGGGUGAUCGGCCACAUUGGGACUGAGAUACGGCCCAGACUCCUACGGGAGGCAGCAGUGGGGAAUAUUGCACAAUGGGCGAAAGCCUGAUGCAGCGACGCCGCGUGAGGGAUGACGGCCUUCGGGUUGUAAACCUCUUUCAGCUGGGACGAAGCGCAAGUGACGGUACCUGCAGAAGAAGCACCGGCUAACUACGUG